This 242-nucleotide ribosomal RNA is filed under the name uncultured Burkholderiaceae bacterium. Its description in RNAcentral is "partial 16S ribosomal RNA". It matches the Rfam family "Bacterial small subunit ribosomal RNA", at positions 530 to 771 of the family's 1533-position model. The record is from RNAcentral. Lineage: Bacteria; Pseudomonadati; Pseudomonadota; Betaproteobacteria; Burkholderiales; Burkholderiaceae.
GGGUGCAAGCGUUAAUCGGAAUUACUGGGCGUAAAGCGUGCGCAGGCGGUGAUGUAAGACAGAUGUGAAAUCCCCGGGCUCAACCUGGGAACUGCAUUUGUGACUGCAUCGCUGGAGUGCGGCAGAGGGGGAUGGAAUUCCGCGUGUAGCAGUGAAAUGCGUAGAUAUGCGGAGGAACACCGAUGGCGAAGGCAAUCCCCUGGGCCUGCACUGACGCUCAUGCACGAAAGCGUGGGGAGCAA